GACGAACGCUGGCGGCGUGCUUAACACAUGCAAGUCGAACGGUAAGGCCCUUCGGGGUACACGAGUGGCGAACGGGUGAGUAACACGUGGGUGAUCUGCCCUGCACUUCGGGAUAAGCCUGGGAAACUGGGUCUAAUACCGGAUAGGACCCUGGGAUGCAUGUCCUGGGGUGGAAAGCUUUUGCGGUGUGGGAUGGGCCCGCGGCCUAUCAGCUUGUUGGUGGGGUGAUUGCCUACCAAGGCGACGACGGGUAGCCGGCCUGAGAGGGUGACCGGCCAAAAUGGGACUGAGAUACGGCCCAGACUCCUACGGGAGGCAGCAGUGGGGAAUAUUGCACAAUGGGCGCAAGCCUGAUGCAGCGACGCCGCGUGAGGGAUGACGGCCUUCGGGUUGUAAACCUCUUUCAGCACCGACGAAGCGCAAGUGACGGUAGGUGCAGAAGAAGGACCGGCCAACUACGUGCCAGCCGCCGCAGUAA
RNAcentral lists this ribosomal RNA (478 nucleotides) under uncultured bacterium. RNAcentral's name for it is "partial 16S ribosomal RNA". It matches the Rfam family "Bacterial small subunit ribosomal RNA", at positions 28 to 523 of the family's 1533-position model. The record is from RNAcentral.